CUUAAAUAAUUAACAAGAAGAGGUUUGUCCUUUUAAAGGUCCCUGUCACUGAUACUUGCCUAUAAGAAGGUCUUAGAAAUGGACCUUUCUUAAAACACACUGUUACCACUUGGAUUCAUCACAUUUUUGGGGCAGUUUUAACAUGGCAACUGCAGAAGUCACAGACACUUGAGUAAAUGGUAUUCCUCACAGCACCAAAUCAAGUCCCAUGUGUCAAGCCCCUUGCUUUGGAACUCCAGUGACAGAAGAUUAUUUUUGUGACUAUGGAGCUUAUGACAAAAUCAGUCCUUGAAUUCUUUGCUGGCACAGGCUCAGAAGUCUCCACUCCUGGGAAAAGACAAGGCUACCAGAGAGGCAAAAGAAAGCAACAAGUUAUUCCAGACGAGCAGCCUGUGCAACCCUUUGGCCAAUGUUUGACGCAUCAAAGAUCUGUCGUGGUUCAACCUUUUCAUACGCCCUUGGUCAGAACAGAGGAAAGUCAGUUUAAAAAAGAGCCAGCCAUAUUGGAAGAGGGUGCAGGAACCAUUCAGAGCUAGAAAGGUUGAAUUGCAGUGGGGAUGAGGGAGGACAACUCAAAGUUUUCUAAAUAAGGAGAUUAAGAGAUGCCUCAGUUACUGACUACUAGAACCAGCAUGGAAAAAUAAUUUGGAAUAAUAUUGUUGAGUCCACUAGAUAAAAAUAUGGAUGGAUGUUCAUCUCAAGCUGAACAAAUCCAACCUAAAAAGAGAGCACAUUUUUUUAACCACAAGUAUGAAGUUAAACUUCAAAAGACAUUUACAAGAGAAGCAAUAAGUCACAUACUCUGGAUGUCUUUCUGGGAGAUCAAGUUUUAAUCAAGCCCAAAUUAUUGGCCUAGGUACAGGUAAAAUAUAAUGGACUGCGGUAUUUGACCCUGCAGGUCUGCCUAACACCUGAUGCAUGAAUAAAGGCAUUUUAUAAGUCCGCGAUUAUGUGAUG
RNAcentral lists this long non-coding RNA (957 nucleotides) under Parus major (Great Tit). RNAcentral describes it as "lncRNA (ENSPMJG00000012837.1)". The record is from RNAcentral. Lineage: Eukaryota; Metazoa; Chordata; Aves; Passeriformes; Paridae.